UCUCCCAUACGGAGAUGGAAGCACCUUCAGUGGUAACCACCACUCUCUCUCUCAUAUGUAG
RNAcentral lists this microRNA precursor (61 nucleotides) under Mus pahari (shrew mouse). RNAcentral's name for it is "microRNA 7040 (MGP_PahariEiJ_G0007144.1)". The record is from RNAcentral. Lineage: Eukaryota; Metazoa; Chordata; Mammalia; Rodentia; Muridae.